GGACUACUGGGGUUUCUAAUCCUGUUUGCUCCCCACGCUUUCGCGCCUUAGCGUCAGUAUCGAGCCAGAAAGCCGCCUUCGCCACUGGUGUUCUUACGAAUAUCUACGAAUUUCACCUCUACACUCGUAAUUCCACUUUCCUCUCUCGAUCUCUAGUCAACCAGUAUCAAAUGCAAUUCUCAGGUUAAGCCCAAGGCUUUCACAUCUGACUUAGUUAACCGCCUACGCGCCCUUUACGCCCAGUAAUUCCGAACAACGCUAGCUCCCUUCGUAUUACCGCGGCGGCUGGCAC
RNAcentral lists this ribosomal RNA (292 nucleotides) under uncultured bacterium. Its description in RNAcentral is "partial 16S ribosomal RNA". The record is from RNAcentral.